ACGCCGCGUGAGUGAUGAAGGUUUUCGGAUCGUAAAACUCUGUUGUAAGGGAAGAACACGUGCGAGAGGUACUGCUCGUACCUUGACGGUACCUUACCAGAAAGCCACGGCUAACUACGUGCCAGCAGCCGCGGUAAUACGUAGGUGGCAAGCGUUGUCCGGAAUUAUUGGGCGUAAAGCGCGCGCAGGCGGUCUUUUAAGUCUGAUGUGAAAGCCCCCGGCUCAACCGGGGAGGGCCAUUGGAAACUGGAAGGCUUGAGUACAGAAGAGAAGAGUGGAAUUCCAUGUGUAGCGGGUGAAAU
This 302-nucleotide ribosomal RNA is filed under the name uncultured Exiguobacterium sp. Its description in RNAcentral is "bacterial SSU rRNA". It matches the Rfam family "Bacterial small subunit ribosomal RNA", at positions 394 to 687 of the family's 1533-position model. The record is from RNAcentral. Lineage: Bacteria; Bacillati; Bacillota; Bacilli; Caryophanales.